RNAcentral lists this microRNA precursor (275 nucleotides) under Paramuricea clavata. Lineage: Eukaryota; Metazoa; Cnidaria; Anthozoa; Malacalcyonacea; Plexauridae. The record is from RNAcentral.
GUCUUCGCACUGCUUGUUCCCAGUUGUUGUAACAAGUUUGGAACAAGCUGUUAAUAACUUGUGACAAGGCAUUAUCAGACUUGUUAUACAAUUUAUGCUGUUUUAACAAGACUGAUAUACAGUCAUGAUAAACCUUGAAGAAUGUCACAAGGUUGACGGCACAAGGUUGUUGGAACAACCUCGUAACACGCCUGAUAAUAUCAACAAAGGUUUUUACAAAUUAUUAACAGCUUCUUCCAAACUUGUUGACAACUUGUGACAAGCAGUGCGAAGAC